AGAGUUUGAUCAUGGCUCAGGACGAACGCUGGCGGCGUGCUUAACACAUGCAAGUCGAACGGUGAACCGCUUUCGGGUGGGGAUCAGUGGCGAACGGGUGAGUAACACGUGAGUAACCUGCCCUUCACUCUGGGAUAACUCCGGGAAACCGGGGCUAAUACUGGAUACGACCUACUCGGGCAUCCGAUGUGGGUGGAAAGAUUUAUUGGUGAGGGAUGGACUCGCGGCCUAUCAGCUUGUUGGUGAGGUAAUGGCUCACCAAGGCGACGACGGGUAGCCGGCCUGAGAGGGCGAUCGGCCACACUGGGACUGAGACACGGCCCAGACUCCUACGGGAGGCAGCAGUGGGGAAUAUUGCACAAUGGGCGAAAGCCUGAUGCAGCGACGCCGCGUGAGGGAUGAAGGCCUUCGGGUUGUAAACCUCUUUCAGCAGGGAAGAAGCGAAAGUGACGGUACCUGCAGAAGAAGCACCGGCUAACUACGUGCCAGCAGCCGCGGUAAUACGUAGGGUGCAAGCGUUGUCCGGAAUUAUUGGGCGUAAAGAGCUUGUAGGCGGUUUGUCGCGUCUGCUGUGAAAUUUCGGGGCUCAACCCCGAACUUGCAGUGGGUACGGGCAGACUAGAGUGUGGUAGGGGAGACUGGAAUUCCUGGUGUAGCGGUGAAAUGCGCAGAUAUCAGGAGGAACACCGAUGGCGAAGGCAGGUCUCUGGGCCAUAACUGACGCUGAGAAGCGAAAGCAUGGGGAGCGAACAGGAUUAGAUACCCUAGUAGUCC
RNAcentral lists this ribosomal RNA (774 nucleotides) under uncultured bacterium. Its description in RNAcentral is "bacterial SSU rRNA". It matches the Rfam family "Bacterial small subunit ribosomal RNA", at positions 8 to 796 of the family's 1533-position model. The record is from RNAcentral.